Long non-coding RNA from Polypterus senegalus (gray bichir), 1563 nucleotides. RefSeq lists it as uncharacterized. Lineage: Eukaryota; Metazoa; Chordata; Cladistia; Polypteriformes; Polypteridae. The transcript is spliced from 5 exons. The record is from RefSeq and is a predicted model, not a curated record.
CCCUCCAAUCUGUCACUGCUGUUUUCAAAUAAUGAUGAGGAUGAGGGUUCUACAUUGGUAAAAGAGAACAAAAGCCCUUCCAGCAAGAAACGUCCCAUCACAGAUAAGAAGAACGCAGCUGUUUGGAUGCAGCAACUGGUCGGGAGUCGUUCUGCCAGUAAAUCUGCUACAUGCACGUCCUUCAAUGAAACAGCAGAGCUUACAGCAUAAAGUCACAAGUAGACUGCAGAGCUUCCUAUUUGAUCGGCGCCACUUGUCCAUCACUAUUGAAGGACCACUCCAAGCGCUAUAAAGCAACAGAGUCUGGCUACAGACCUCUAGCAGCAGACCCCUCUCUUGGUGCUUCAGCCACCUCUCCCUAUGAUUUCAUUCAAGGACCUGUGGCUGGAGGAGGAGGUGUCACAAGUCUGGAAGGUCUACCUUUUGUUUGAAGUGGGAGUGUCCAGCAGGUCCAACACCCUCAAACACUAUUUCUUCUCUGUUGAUAGUUUGCUUGGAAUCUUCCUUGACGAUGGACUGGUGUCUCCCCUCCUAGAUGAUGCAAGCCCACUUGAACAUCCACCUGAAUAGCCCUCCUGCUGCUGACUUCGCUCUUCUUUCCGUCAUUCAGCAUCACACAGCUCCACACCCCACUCACUCACAAAGCUGGCCUGCAAACAAAAUACCCUCCUGUCCCCGGCCUUCCAAAGCACUCUGGAAUCAAUGGACCAAACUCAGGACAACCGAAAGGAAAUGGAGGAAGUCCAAAACUCGGACACACCUGGCUAAGUAUCAAUCCCUUCCUGCAUCCUUUUCUUCUACCACCAUCAACACUAAGAAUUGAUUGCUUGAUACCCACCAGUCCAGCUUCAAGAAUAACAACUCGACCGAGACGGCUCUACUGACUGUAGUCAACCAGCUAUGCCGUCAUCAGUCUUGAUUAUCCUACUGUAGAUCUCUCUUCUGCCUUUGACACAGUCAACCACAACAUCCUUCUUGCCACCUUCUUUGAUCUUGGUAUUACUGGGAUUGCUCUCAGAGGGUUUGAGUCCUACAUCUCGGGCAGAUCCUACAGUGUGUCCUGUUGAAGGGAGCUGUCAAAGGCACACCAGUCAUGCACUGGUGUACCCCAAGAAUUGGUGCGAUUUCCUCUACUCUUCUCUCUUUAUACCACCUCACUGGGCUCCAUCAUCCAUUUGCACAGGUUCUCUAAUCAGUGUUAUACUGAUGAUACACAGCUAUACUUGUUGUUCCCCCUGGAGGACAAUACGGUAUCAGCUAGAGUCUUUGCAUGUCCUACUGAUAUCUCAACCUUGAUGAAUGUCCACCACCAACGGCUCAACCUGGCAAAAAUCGAGCUUCUUAUGAUCCCAGCCAGCCACUCAACUUUCCAUCACUAUACAGUUUGGCUCACUGUUGCUAACACCUGCCUUGAAGACCCAUCUGUUCUGUGAAUAUCUGUCUAACCUGUCUAACUGAAAAGAGGAAAAAAAAAAACUUUGUGCUGUGAUGCUUCAUAUUCUUGGUCAAUUUGUUUAAGUUUAAUUGUUGCAUUGAUUGCAAUCUAUGAUUGUAAAUGUAUGA